This 486-nucleotide ribosomal RNA is filed under the name uncultured bacterium. RNAcentral describes it as "partial 16S ribosomal RNA". The record is from RNAcentral.
GUAGUUAGCCGUGGCUUCCUCACAAGGUACCGUCACUUUCUUCUUCCCUUGCGACAGAGGUUUACAACCCGAAAGCCUUCUUCCCUCACGCGGCGUUGCUGGGUCAGGCUUGCGCCCAUUGCCCAAUAUUCCCCACUGCUGCCUCCCGCAGGAGUCUGGACCGUAUCUCAGUUCCAGUGUGGCCGAUCAGCCUCUCAGCUCGGCUACCCAUCGUCGACUUGGUGGGCCGUUACCCCGCCAACUAUCUAAUGGGACGCGAACCCCUCUUAUACCGGAUUGCUCCUUUGACCUCAUCCCGAUGUCGGGUCGUGGUCUUAUGCGGUAUUAGCAGAUGUUUCCAUCUGUUAUCCCCCUGUCUGGGACAGAUUGUUCACGCGUUACUCACCCGUCCGCCGCUAAAACAAAAACCGAAGCUUCUGUCUCCGCUCGACUUGCAUGUGUUAGGCACGCCGCCAGCGUUCGUCCUGAGCCAGAAUCAAACUCUGA